AUGAACGCUGGCGGCGUGCCUAAUACAUGCAAGUCGCGCGAACGGACGAGAAGCUUGCUUCUCUGAUGUUAGCGGCGGACGGGUGAGUAACACGUGGAUAACCUACCUAUAAGACUGGGAUAACUUCGGGAAACCGGAGCUAAUACCGGAUAAUAUUUUGAACCGCAUGGUUCAAAAGUGAAAGACGGUCUUGCUGUCACUUAUAGAUGGAUCCGCGCUGCAUUAGCUAGUUGGUAAGGUAACGGCUUACCAAGGCAACGAUGCAUAGCCGACCUGAGAGGGUGAUCGGCCACACUGGAACUGAGACACGGUCCAGACACCUACGGGAGGCAGCAGUAGGGAAUCUUCCGCAAAGGGCGAAAGCCUGACGGAGCAACGCCGCGUGAGUGAUGAAGGUCUUCGGAUCGUAAAACUCUGUUAUUAGGGAAGAACAUAUGUGUAAGUAACUGUGCACAUCUUGACGGUACCUAAUCAGAAAGCCACGGCUAACUACGUG
RNAcentral lists this ribosomal RNA (496 nucleotides) under uncultured bacterium. RNAcentral's name for it is "partial 16S ribosomal RNA". It matches the Rfam family "Bacterial small subunit ribosomal RNA", at positions 29 to 507 of the family's 1533-position model. The record is from RNAcentral.